This 507-nucleotide ribosomal RNA is filed under the name uncultured bacterium. RNAcentral describes it as "bacterial SSU rRNA". It matches the Rfam family "Bacterial small subunit ribosomal RNA", at positions 27 to 518 of the family's 1533-position model. The record is from RNAcentral.
GAACGAACGCUGGCGGCGCGUCUUAAGCAUGCAAGUCGGACGGCAAGGGUUGUGCUUGCACAACUCCUAGAGUGGCGGACUGGUGAGUAACGCGUGGGUGACCUGCCCUCGAGAUGGGGAUAGCCAUUAGAAAUAGUGGAUAAUACCGAAUACGCUCAUGACCCUGUGGGGAUAUGAGGAAAACAGGCUACGGCCUGGCUCGAGGAUGGGCCCGCGUCCCAUUAGCUAGUUGGUGAGGUAACGGCCCACCAAGGCGACGAUGGGUAUCCGGCCUGAGAGGGUGUACGGACACAUUGGGACUGAGACACGGCCCAAACUCCUACGGGAGGCAGCAGUAGGGAAUCUUCCGCAAUGGACGAAAGUCUGACGGAGCAACGCCGCGUGAGUGAAGAAAGGUUUUCGGAUCGUAAAACUCUGUUGUCAGAGAAGAACAAGUUGGAGAGUAACUGCUCCAGCCUUGACGGUAUCUGACCAGAAAGCCACGGCUAACUACGUGCCAGCCGCCGC